This 419-nucleotide long non-coding RNA is filed under the name Homo sapiens (human). RNAcentral describes it as "non-protein coding lnc-DEGS2-11:1". The record is from RNAcentral. Lineage: Eukaryota; Metazoa; Chordata; Mammalia; Primates; Hominidae.
AUCUUCCUUCUUCUCGGCUGGCUUGUCUGACUGGGAGGCUGCUUUUCUCCUAGGCACAGAGAAGGGGAAGAUACAGAUCAGCUCCUCACGUUCUCUCACUGUCCCAGAACUCUUCUGCCUCCACCCUGCCAGACUCACCCCGGUCCUCAGAUAAACCUGUGUGGGAAAACGAUGGCGUGAAGGAGGCGGCUUGUCUAGGCCCCGUCUGGUGAGGAGCCAGGCCCAGGCAAAUGUCCAGGCCCUCCGUGUGGUCAUGGCCUGGGACACAAAACUGGUCUAGGCAGAGAGGGCGAGAUGCCUCUAUGUCUGUUUAGCUCUACUGGCAGCAGCUGUAGCAUCUGAGGCGUGGAGGGGAGGCGGGCACGCUCUGUCCCCAGGACACUGAAGGCCUGGCCACACGGGACAGAGAGGCAUCUCUC